CAUGUGAUCCCCUCCAAGCCC
This 21-nucleotide non-coding RNA is filed under the name Rattus norvegicus (Norway rat). Lineage: Eukaryota; Metazoa; Chordata; Mammalia; Rodentia; Muridae. The record is from RNAcentral.